UACGUAGGGGGCAAGCGUUGUCCGGAAUCAUUGGGCGUAAAGAGCGCGUAGGCGGUCCGGUAAGUCCGCUCUGAAAGUCCGGGGCUCAACCCCGGGAGGCGGGCGGAUACUGACGGGCUAGAGUCCGGAAGAGGAGAGUGGAAUUCCUGGUGUAGCGGUGAAAUGCGCAGAUAUCAGGAAGAACACCCGUGGCUAAGGCGGCUCUCUAGUACGGUACUGACGCUGAGACGCGAAAGCGUGGGGAGCGAACAGG
RNAcentral lists this ribosomal RNA (253 nucleotides) under uncultured bacterium. Its description in RNAcentral is "partial 16S ribosomal RNA". It matches the Rfam family "Bacterial small subunit ribosomal RNA", at positions 524 to 776 of the family's 1533-position model. The record is from RNAcentral.